GAUAUUUUAAUGACAUUUCUAACGGCGUAUAAAUUUAUUAGGGUUUUUUUUUCUUUCUUUCUUUUUUUCUUUCUUUCUUUUUAUCGAUCACCUUCUUUUGUAAAAGUCAAACCGAUCGAGUACGAAUCAGAAAUGAUUUGUAAAUUGUGCUAAUGUCUCUCUCGCGUGGUGAUAUCUCUCACUUACUACGUGAAUGGGGUCGCUCAACGAUGCGUUUCCUCUUGAAGCAAAUUGAAUUUUUUAUUAAUCAUAUGAAGGCACGUAUAAUGUCGUUUUACUUUUCUAUUGAUUGAUAUUCCAACAUCGAAUUCUAAUGAACCAUUCUUAACCGGUAUUUUUGAAUUCGGCGAAACGGCGUAGCGUCUCAGACGCUAUCGAGCCAUUGUAUAUGCCCCACCCAAUACAGAAUUAUAUUUCUAUUUUUAUAAUUUUCGACCAGAGGAUUCCCAGUAAGUCUACGUUAUUUUUUCAAAUGUCUCUUAUAUAUUUUACUCGUCAAAAGUAUCUUUUCAAUCACGUGAAAGACUGCACAAGGAAGUUACAUUAUGCAGAUAACAGAAUAUUCUCUCAUUCCUCAAAUUUUUUAUUGGUGCAAGAUAUAUUGUGAAUGUAUAGUCUGAAGCAACGAAUAGCUGGGUAAAUUGAUCAAAACAUAAAAUGAAUUCAAAAUGUAAUCUUAAUAUAAACAGUGAUAAGAUAAUUGUCUGGUAUACAUUAUUUCAGAUCAGUCAUGGAUAUUUGUAAAUCUUUUUUCAGCUGUCGCUUGUAAGAUAACGUUUUUUUAUGUGACUUUGUUGACAGUCGGUCAACAGGGAGAUUGUUUAAAUCUCUUAAUAAAUAAACAAGUUGAAUUAAUUA
This is a long non-coding RNA of Vespa crabro (European hornet), 858 nucleotides long. RefSeq lists it as uncharacterized. The transcript is spliced from 2 exons. The record is from RefSeq and is a predicted model, not a curated record. NCBI's taxonomy places the organism in Eukaryota, Metazoa, Arthropoda, Insecta, Hymenoptera, Vespidae.